Long non-coding RNA from Pungitius pungitius (ninespine stickleback), 1015 nucleotides. RefSeq lists it as uncharacterized. The transcript is spliced from 3 exons. The record is from RefSeq and is a predicted model, not a curated record. Lineage: Eukaryota; Metazoa; Chordata; Actinopteri; Perciformes; Gasterosteidae.
CGGGGCUUCUGGGUGACAGACAGCUAGAAGGGCAAGCCGUAUGUCAUCAUGGUGACUGCCGAGCGAUUUAAGGAAAUGGAGUGAUUAGAGCAGAGAGGAAGAGGCUCGAGCCUGAAGGAGCCACUGGCAUUAAAGCAGAGUACCAAGAUCCAUGGAUGUGCGCAAGGUUCUGUGCAUUUGAGAAGUGUGCACUUGUUGGUGUCUGACAUUGGUCACGCACUGUCACGUGACCAUCUCAUCCCACGCUGCCAUUGGCUGGCACCUGUGGGGCUCUGUGAAGAAAAGCUUUUCUGACAGCAGCCAGGUGCCCAAAGGAGUUGCUGGAGACUGGGAGAAGGACAAUGUCGGUGGGAGCAGGAGAGCAGUGGGGGCUCUGGAGAUGGCAUCACCAUAGAGGUUCUGGGAUGUUCUGGGAUGUGACCUCACAGCCACUGCGACUGGCAAGAAUCCACAGAGACGAUCACGCGUCUGAAUAGUUAUUGGCUAAUGAAGUGCGUGUGAUGUUCUGCAAACCAGCAUAGAAGCCAUCGUCCUACAUUUCCGAGGAGAGGGCGUCCUCUGCUGUUUAAUGUUAGGAACACAACGACCUGCAAAAAGAGGCCGUUCAAAAUGGAGUCACGAAACAGGCCUAAUUCCACAAAUUCCACAGCUUGAAUAUGACAAAAAAAGAUUUUUAAAAAGAUGCACAUUACUACAUGUUUUUUAUUUUAUUUGAUAAGGGAGCUCCUUGAUGAACAGUGUAAAAGAUAACAUCUAUUCUUUGAAAUCGAUCUUAAAGUGGAAUAACUAGGACACUCUCUUGUUCCAUAUCUGCUCCUCUUCACUUCAUCGGUCUACAUGUGCUGCCCAUGUGGCACAUAUAUUGGUUCUGUUGUUGUUGCCACCGUCAGCACUCUGCAAAUUAUUCAUUAAAACAAGAAUAAUAUAAUGUCUUGAAAAAUGAACAUAUAUGUGAGUGUCAAACUGUACAAGGUAUUCGAUGCUUUUCUCUGCUAUAACCAUGUAUCACUGUACA